UCCAUAUUGACGGAGCGCAGCAGGUGAAGGACGCCCUGCUUCUCCUCCCCGCGCCACGUCGGCCACGACUCCUUGGUCAGAAUGGCGUACCUGGAGAGGAGAGGCGGAGGGACGCAAUACAGAGAGAGAGAGCGCUGAAGCAGCCAAACCAGAAGCCCAGGUCCCUACCCUACCGACCAAUCAGAGCCAAAACGCCCCAGAGGAUUACGCAGCCAGCCAGAAGACGUAAUUGGAUGGGACCAUAAACUCAAGGCAUCUGAGCAAAGAGGGUAAAGGAAGUCCCUGAACGUGUCGGAACGUCCCGGAAGGUCCCUGUCCCUCACCGGCUCUCCUCCCAGUCCCUGGGCUUCUUGGUCUCGUUGGGCUUGAUGCAGCGGAUGUAGUGUGGGGUGCACUUCAUCAGGGUCCCCACCAGGUCAUUGGCUUGUUUCUGAGAGGGGGAGGAGAAAUAAACUGUCAAUCCUAAAAACCCUGAGUGGAUU
Molecule: long non-coding RNA, 482 nt
Organism: Anguilla anguilla (European eel)
Lineage: Eukaryota; Metazoa; Chordata; Actinopteri; Anguilliformes; Anguillidae
Exons: 2
Source: RefSeq, a predicted model, not a curated record